Molecule: small nuclear RNA, 22 nt
Filed under: Arabidopsis thaliana (thale cress)
Lineage: Eukaryota; Viridiplantae; Streptophyta; Magnoliopsida; Brassicales; Brassicaceae
Description: snRNA_08883
Source: RNAcentral
AGUUACGCUAGUUUAUGCCAAC